Molecule: long non-coding RNA, 2472 nt
Organism: Lineus longissimus
Lineage: Eukaryota; Metazoa; Nemertea; Pilidiophora; Heteronemertea; Lineidae
Exons: 5
Source: RefSeq, a predicted model, not a curated record
GGAUGAUUUAGGGAAAAGUAUUGUAGAAGACGAACAAGUUUUUUUCGUUGAUUCUGUGAGAAAAAGACUCUUACUCGUAGGCCUACCGCCCGGUACCACAGAGUACAGACCAUCAUUCAUGCAAUCGAUGCAUGGCGUGUGUGUCAUUGACACUGUCGAGUGUGUGCAGACUUAAGACUGCAGUCUAGGCGUUCAGGCUACAGGCUUCAUCAUGUCUGUGCCCUCCGUGCCACCCCUGGGGUUUUUAAUGCCACUCGUGCCCACACUCAAGUGUUUUGAAGAAUGUAAAAUCCAGUGUGUGAUAAACAUGUGUAAAGAAACCUUUCGUAAGAAGCCAGAAGAGCUUUACAACAAUCUUGGACUGGGAGAUGGAGGCCAUCAUAAACUUCUUGUAGGAUGAGUUGCCGCAGACAGAGAUGAAAACCAUGAUGAAUGUCCGUGAGCCAGAGGCUAUGAUUUGUUUAGUACAACAAUGCGAGGGACUUAACAAAAUUGAGGCGGAAAUAUUCUUGAGGCAGUGUCGGUGCAUGGAAGAAACGGAAACAUUGGAUUAAGGAUUUAUUUCAUAGUGAAUUACACAGUCACAAAUGGAUUACACACGUUCUGGAUUAGACUAGUUUCUGCUGCAACUGACAUUUUUGCAGGUGCCCACUCGUAGGCGAUUCCUUGAUGUCUUCCUUGGAUUUUACAUGAUAUUAUGUAAUUUUCGCCAACAUCGGGUUUUGGCGCCAAGACGUUUGUUCCUAGAACAGUUGAUUUAAAUGCCGAAUGUGGUCAGUUUUUAUUUAUAUCGCAGGUGUCUACCCAAACAUUUUUAGAUGCUUUCUGCUGAAUCUUCUAUUACUACUGUUUUUACUGGGGUUUCAUCGAUGUUUUUUGGUGGAGUGUGACUCUAAAGUAAUAGGCAGCUUGUUAUGCCCCAGCCAAUGCGUAAAGCAUUGCGGAGGCAUUAUGUUUUACCAAUGUCCGUCAGCCGGUAGGCGUCAGGCGUCUGUAAACUUUUCGUUUCCUCUCAUUUUAACAAGAACGCUUUGAGUAAUAACCAUGUAACUUUUUAUGUGGGUAGAAAAAGAUAACGUGUACAGCGGGCAUUACAGACCAAUAACUCUUUUACGAUGUCAACUAAACCUAGUCAGCUAUGACACCAGCUGCCCGGGGUUGUCUGAAAAACACUUCACUUUCCUAAUACACCAACUCAAAGUGCUCACCGGGGCAUAUGCUACGCCCUGCGUUGCUCUUGUUAUUGCAGUAGUUUUGUUCUUCCUCUGGUUCACCUAUAAACUAUUUUUCCAAUCUCCAAUCAUGUUUGAUGCUUUAGCCAUUUUGUUUCAGCUCUUAGAUAGUAGAAAAACGUGUUAUUCAUUAUUUCUGGUAGCACAAGUCCUGGCACGAAAUACCUUUCCCGUCAUAAUAUCAGUACCAAGACGUCACAGGGUAGGUCCUUACUCCAGGAAACGCCUUACUCGUGCACUGUUCCACGUGAAAAGGGUCACUGCUUGGAGAGCUAAAUGGGUCAACAUCAGAAAAGCGCGAUAAUUCAGUCUUUGGAAUUUUUCCUUUUUUUGUGCAAUUUGUUGAUGGAAACUACUUAUGUAGAACAGGAGGUGACUGGGCAGCAGACAGCUGGGUAAUAUUGCCCUUAACCCCUCGCCUCCCUAGAGGGGACGAUAUAUCGUCCCUGUAUUUUGUCUCGCGUAGGCGGUACGAUAUAUCGUCCCUAUACUAAUGCUUUAGUACAGAACUCUCGGUACACGUUAGACGCUAUUGUACAGUGUAUUCGUGUCCCUGGUGAUCUGCAGAAGACCAGAUUUAGUUUCAUUCAUAGUUUACAGAGGGCGCUGCAGUUUGAUUGGCGCUUGUGCAGCGUCACAGUACAAGAACUGAUUAGCAUAUAAAUUAAUAUUAUGUUGUAUUAUUCGAUCAAUCAGUAAUAGACAAUAGUCAAUCAAAGGUUAUCAAUCAAGUUACGUUGAUCAUUAACAGGUUGUAACUGCAUCAAUUACAGUUCCAUAUACUUUGUUCAAAUCAGAAAAAUCAAUCAAUUAGAGCAAAAUCAAUCAAAAAAUAUUGAUUAUUACUGAUUAUUGAUUACUUCUUACCUAAUUGAUACCCAGAAACAACGCCAAUUGAUAGCCAAGGUAAUCAGCUUUAUGAAAAUGUAUGGUUUUAUUAGUCGUACUUCCACCUAUCAAAUCCCCGUGUCUUUUGCGCUUACACCUAUGAAUUGUCGUGUCUAAAUAGACCCGUGUGUCAAAUCCCCGUGUCUAUUAGCCCCAUCGAGCUUGAUGCGGCCAAUCGGGGGCUAAUUCAGACCCGUGUUCAACACAGGUUUUUAGCUCACCUCUUAGCAGAGGUGAGCUUAUCCCAUACCGUGGCGUCCGUCGUCCGUCGUCGUCGUCGUCCGUCGUCCGUUAGCAGGGCACGUUUCGUAACUGUUAGAGCUAUUGAGUUGAAACUUGGUACACAUGUACC